RNAcentral lists this long non-coding RNA (1030 nucleotides) under Lathyrus oleraceus (garden pea). RNAcentral describes it as "Pisum sativum (pea) long non-coding RNA (PSAT_LNC020133)". Lineage: Eukaryota; Viridiplantae; Streptophyta; Magnoliopsida; Fabales; Fabaceae. The record is from RNAcentral.
GAAAACUUCACACAGCAUUCACAAUAAUCAUCUAAACUUAAACAAAACUGACACAAGCUUAUAAUUUCACUAAUCCUAACUAACAAACCCUAACAGCUCUAUCAUCAGUGCCAGCCAAAAACACCAAUUGAACCACAAUGCUGGCCAUUUGAAUUCCUGCUACAGAAGCCAAACCAAAACCUUCUAAACAAUGCCUUGACUCAAGUCCAAAUCAACAUGAAAUAAGACCUAUUGCAUCUGGGCCAUUGGUGCAAGUCAGGACCUCACACACCCUACAAAACUAAGAUGCAAUGCAUGAGCCACAAAUCUGCAGAAAAAUCAUAAGUCAGAAAUGCAGCUACACCAGCCAGGAAAGUAUAAUUAACAGAAUUUAUUUCAAACUAAUAAUAAUAUUCUUUUCAAUGACAAUUUAGCAGCUCCAAUAAACAUUGUUAUUUUUACUCACAAAUCACAUGACAAAAUCAGUAUUUAGCCACAUGUCUAUCACAAAUUCCAGCCCACAAGUUUCAUCAGCAAAUUUAAAUUGCAAAAUCACACGCAUAGCAUGGCUCACAUUACACUGAUUUCAGUCAUAACAGCAAAACACCCAAGCCAAUUAACACUAAUUCAAUCUCCAACUCAAUAUAUUUUUCAGUUUGCAUCUAACUAAUUUUCAAAUCCAAUUCCUAAUCCACCCUCUCAUCACUCUAUUUAAACCACAAUUCUCUCCCUUAAAGUUGGCUCUCGAUUACCUCUCUUUUUUCAAUCUGCAUAUCCGGAUUUCACUCUCCAUCUCAAUUCAUUCAAUCCAUAAUCCCUCACAUUUCCUCUCUCGGAUUCAUUCAAUUUUUCAUCACAAUUCUCUCCCUUCGUCAUUAUAAGAACUCAUUAGAAGCAGCAGAGACGCAUCAAUAUCACAGAGAAAUAGAUUCUUCCCAACAACUCUCAACAAUUCACGUAGCAACUACUCAUCACUCACGCAAUUUAUCUCUACCUCGCAACGGUGAUUCGUCGCACACAAUAGCACAAAGGAAGAAGGGAAAGUCGAUAC